This 406-nucleotide ribosomal RNA is filed under the name uncultured bacterium. Its description in RNAcentral is "partial 16S ribosomal RNA". It matches the Rfam family "Bacterial small subunit ribosomal RNA", at positions 30 to 526 of the family's 1533-position model. The record is from RNAcentral.
AUUGAACGCUGGCGGCAGGCCUAACACAUGCAAGUCGAACGAGUGGCGGACGGGUGAGUAAUAUCUGGGAAAGUGCCUGGUGGCGGGGGAUAACUACUGGAAACGGUGGCUAAUACCGCAUACCAUCAGAGUUGCCCAGAUGGGAUUAGCUAGUUGGUGGGGUAAAGGCUCACCAAGGCGACGAUCCGUAGCCGGUCUGAGAGGGCGACCGGCCACACUGGGACUGAGACACGGCCCAGACUCCUACGGGAGGCAGCAGUGGGGAAUUUUGGGCAAUGGGGGAAACCCUGAUCGAGCCAGGCCGCGUGUGUGAAGAAGGCCUUCGGAUUGUAAAGCACUUUUGGCAGAGAAGCGGUAUCUACCGAGAAAGCACCGGCUAACUACGUGCCAGCAGCCGCGGUAAUUC